UAGGGAAUCUUCGGCAAUGGGGGGAACCCUGACCGAGCAACGCCGCGUGAGUGAAGAAGGUUUUCGGAUCGUAAAGCUCUGUUGUUAAGGAAGAACGAGUGUGAGAAUGGAAAGUUCAUACUGUGACGGUACUUAACCAGAAAGGGACGGCUAACUACGUGCCAGCAGCCGCGGUAAUACGUAGGUCCCGAGCGUUGUCCGGAUUUAUUGGGCGUAAAGCGAGCGCAGGCGGUUAGAUAAGUCUGAAGUUAAAGGCAGUGGCUCAACCAUUGUAGGCUUUGGAAACUGUGUAACUUGAGUGCAGAAGGGGAGAGUAGAAUUCCAGGUGUAGCGGUGAAAUGCGUAGAGAUAUGGAGGAACACCGGUGGCGAAAGCGGCUCUCUAGUCUGUAACUGACGCUGAGGCUCGAAAGCGUGGGGAGCGAACAGG
This 429-nucleotide ribosomal RNA is filed under the name Bacteroidota bacterium. Its description in RNAcentral is "Bacteroidetes bacterium partial 16S ribosomal RNA". It matches the Rfam family "Bacterial small subunit ribosomal RNA", at positions 355 to 776 of the family's 1533-position model. Lineage: Bacteria; Pseudomonadati; Bacteroidota. The record is from RNAcentral.